AGAGACUUAGGUUAACGUUAUAGACCUGGAGCCUUCAAAGCUCCGAGCGGAGGUGGGAGCCCUCUAGACUCUG
Molecule: transfer RNA, 73 nt
Filed under: Priacanthus macracanthus (red bigeye)
Lineage: Eukaryota; Metazoa; Chordata; Actinopteri; Priacanthiformes; Priacanthidae
Description: tRNA-Trp
Source: RNAcentral